This 534-nucleotide ribosomal RNA is filed under the name uncultured bacterium. RNAcentral describes it as "bacterial SSU rRNA". It matches the Rfam family "Bacterial small subunit ribosomal RNA", at positions 94 to 630 of the family's 1533-position model. The record is from RNAcentral.
CACGGCGCACGGGUGUGCCACACGUGGGCAAUCUGCCCUCUGAUGGGGAAUAACCCCGCGAAAGCGGGGCUAAUACCGCAUAAGAUUCUUUGGACUUCGGUCUGGAGAUUGAAAGCAGUAAUGCGUCGGAGGAGGAGCCCGCGCCCGAUUAGCUAGUUGGUGAGGUAACGGCUCACCAAGGCAAUGAUCGGUAGCUGGUCUGAGAGGAUGAUCAGCCACACUGGAACUGAGACACGGUCCAGACUCCUACGGGAGGCAGCAGUGGGGAAUCUUGCACAAUGGGCGAAAGCCUGAUGCAGCGACGCCGCGUGGGGGAUGAAGCAUCUCGGUGUGUAAACCCCUUUCGACCGGGAAGAAAGCCUCGCAAGAGGACUGACGGUACCGGUAUAAGAAGCCCCGGCUAACUACGUGCCAGCAGCCGCAGUAAGACGUAGGGGGCCAGCGUUGUUCGGAAUUACUGGGUGUAAAGGGUUCGUAGGCGGUGCGGCAAGUUGGGAGUGAAAUCUCUGGGCUUAACCCAGAGGCUGCUUCCAA